CCUACGGGUGGCUGCAGUGAGGAAUAUUGCACAAUGGGGGAAACCCUGAUGCAGCGACUCCGCGUGAGUGAAGACGUAUCUAGGUACGUAAAACUCUAUCAGCCGGGAAGAAAAUGACGGUACCUGACUCAGAAGCCCCGGCUAACUACGUGCCAGCAGCCGCGGUAAUACGUAGGGGGCAAGCGUUAUCCGGAUUUACUGGGUGUUAAGGGGGCUUAAACGGCAGGACAAGUCUGGAGUGAAAUCCCGGGGAUUAACCCCCGACCUGCUUUGGCAACUGUGCGGCUGGAGUGCAGGAGGGGUAAGCGGAAGUCCUAGUGUAGCGGUGAAAUGCGUAGAUAUUAGGAGGAACACCGGUGGCGAAGGCGGCUUACUGGACUGUAACUGACGUUGAGGCUCGAAAGCGUGGGGAGCAAACAGGAUUAGAUACCCUGGUAGUC
RNAcentral lists this ribosomal RNA (440 nucleotides) under uncultured bacterium. RNAcentral's name for it is "partial 16S ribosomal RNA". It matches the Rfam family "Bacterial small subunit ribosomal RNA", at positions 338 to 795 of the family's 1533-position model. The record is from RNAcentral.